This 460-nucleotide ribosomal RNA is filed under the name uncultured bacterium. RNAcentral describes it as "partial 16S ribosomal RNA". It matches the Rfam family "Bacterial small subunit ribosomal RNA", at positions 338 to 795 of the family's 1533-position model. The record is from RNAcentral.
CCUACGGGAGGCAGCAGUGAGGAAUAUUGGGCAAUGGGCGAAAGGCUGAACCAGCGAAGCCGCGUGAGGGAAGAAUGUCCUAUGGAUUGUAAACCUCUUUUGUCAGGGAGCAAAGUCACCCACGUGUGGGUGUUGGAGAGUACCUGAAGAAAAAGCAUCGGCUAACUCCGUGCCAGCAGCCGCGGUAAUACGGAGGAUGCGAGCGUUAUCCGGAUUUGCGGGGUGUAAAGGGCGGGUAGGCGGGCUGGCAAGUCAGAUGUGAAAUUCCGGGGCUCAACCCCGGACCUGCCUUUGAAACUGGUGGUCUUGAGUGUCGGAGAGGCAGGCGGAAUUCCUAGUGGAGCGGUGAAAUGCGUAGAUAUUAGGAGGAACACCAGUGGCGAAGGUGGCCUGCUGGACCACAACUGACGGUGAGGCGCGAAAGCGUGGGGAGCAAACAGGAUUAGAUACCCCGGUAGUC